Molecule: ribosomal RNA, 262 nt
Filed under: uncultured bacterium
Lineage: Bacteria
Description: partial 16S ribosomal RNA
Rfam family: Bacterial small subunit ribosomal RNA
Source: RNAcentral
GUCCACGCCCUAAACGAUGUCAACUGGUUGUUGGGAGGGUUUCUUCUCAGUAACGAAGCUAACGCGUGAAGUUGACCGCCUGGGGAGUACGGCCGCAAGGUUGAAACUCAAAGGAAUUGACGGGACCCGCACAAGCGGUGGAUGAUGUGGUUUAAUUCGAUGCAACGCGAAAACCUUACCUACCCUUGACAUGUCUGAAAUCCUGCAGAGAUGUGGGAGUGCUCGAAAGAGAGCCAGAACACAGGUGCUGCAUGGCCGUCGU